CUGGUGUAGGGGGGCUUAUAUACCUGCUGGAGGGAAGUGUUGCCACAGGCAGAAGCAGUCCAGAGACUAACCAACCAGAAUGUUCAGAACAAAAGAGGAAGCCAGUCCAUGAUGAACUUAAGUUGUGAAGGUAAUCAACAGUUCAAUAGAAGCAGUAACCAGCGGCAAUCACAUCGAGGAUUUAGUAGAAGAGGAGGAAGAGGAAAUUAUUUUGGUUGUCAAAAUGAAUUGCCACAGCAGCAGAGACAAGGCAAUCAUGGUCCUGGGCAACCCUUGGAAAGAAAUAGAUAUAAUCAUAGUCCAAGUCCGUCCUAUUGUCCACCACUGAAUGAAAGACCUCCACAUUAUCAGCCACACUCUUGGAACUCAGAAAAUUCACAUUACAGAACUCAUAAACGUGCAGACUAUCACC
This is a non-coding RNA of Cherax quadricarinatus, 412 nucleotides long. NCBI's taxonomy places the organism in Eukaryota, Metazoa, Arthropoda, Malacostraca, Decapoda, Parastacidae. The record is from RefSeq and is a predicted model, not a curated record.